GGUGCGCGCGGCUACCUGCAGUCAGGGGGCUGGAGCAAUCCAGCAACCGGCGAACGGGUGCGUAACACGUGAGCAAUCUGCCGAUUUCUGGGGGAUAGCCGGCCCAACGGCCGGGUAAUACCGCAUACGCUACUUGGGGGGAGUCCCCUGGGUAGGAAACCUCCGGGGGAGAUCGAGGAGCUCGCGGCCUAUCAGCUAGUUGGCGGGGUCAUGGCCCACCAAGGCGACGACGGGUAGCUGGUCUGAGAGGAUGGCCAGCCACAUUGGGACUGAGAGACGGCCCAGACUCCUACGGGAGGCAGCAGUGGGGAAUCUUGCGCAAUGGCCGAAAGGCUGACGCAGCGACGCCGCGUGUGGGAGGACGCCCUUCGGGGUGUAAACCACUGUUGCCCGGGACGAACAUCCUCUUUUGAGAGGACUGACGGUACCGGGUGAGGAAGCACCGGCUAACUCCGUGCCAGCAGCCGCGGUAAUACGGAGGGUGCGAGCGUUGUCCGGAAUCACUGGGCGUAAAGGGCGCGUAGGUGGCUGGAGUAGUCAACGGUGAAAGCUCGGGGCUCAACCCCGAGUCGGCCGUCGAUACUCUUCGGCUCGAGCUCACUAGAGGCAGAUGGAAUUCCGGGUGUAGCGGUGGAAUGCGUAGAGAUCCGGAAGAACACCGGUGGCGAAGGCGGUCUGCUGGGGUGAGGCUGACACUGAGGCGCGACAGCGUGGGGAGCAAACAGGAUUAGAUACCCUGGUAGUCCACGCCGUAAACGAUGGGCACUAGGUGCUUGGGGGAGCGACCCCUUGAGUGCCGGCGCUAACGCAUUAAGUGCCCCGCCUGGGGAGUACGGCCGCAAGGCUA
This 847-nucleotide ribosomal RNA is filed under the name uncultured bacterium. Its description in RNAcentral is "bacterial SSU rRNA". It matches the Rfam family "Bacterial small subunit ribosomal RNA", at positions 41 to 896 of the family's 1533-position model. The record is from RNAcentral.